AUACAGAGGGUGCAAGCGUUAUUCGGAAUUACUGGGCGUAAAGCGCGCGUAGGCGGAUGAUUAAGUCUGUUGUGAAAGCCCUGGGCUCAACCUAGGAACUGCAUCUGAUACUGGUCGUCUAGAGUUUAAGAGAGGGAAGUGGAAUUCCAGGUGUAGCAGUGAAAUGCGUAGAUAUCUGGAGGAACAUCAGUGGCGAAGGCGACUUCCUGGCUUAAAACUGACGCUGAGGUGCGAAAGCGUGGGUAGCGAACGGGAUUAGAAACCCUAGUAGUCC
RNAcentral lists this ribosomal RNA (274 nucleotides) under uncultured bacterium. RNAcentral's name for it is "partial 16S ribosomal RNA". It matches the Rfam family "Bacterial small subunit ribosomal RNA", at positions 523 to 796 of the family's 1533-position model. The record is from RNAcentral.